ACAGCAGUAGCCGCGGUAAUACGAACCGUGCGAACGUUAUUCGGAAUCACUGGGCUUAAAGCGCGUGUAGGCGGGCCGCCACGUCGGCUGCUGAAAUCCCCCGGCUCAACCGGGGAAGUGGCACCGAUACGAGCGGCCUCGAGGGGGGUAGGGGGCACUGGAACUUCCGGUGGAGCGGUGAAAUGCGUUGAGAUCGGAAGGAACGCCCGUGGCGAAAGCGAGUGCCUGGACCCUUUCUGACGCUGAGGAGCGAAAGCGUGGGGAGCGAACAGGAUUAGAUACCCGCGUAGUCCCUGUCUCUUAUU
RNAcentral lists this ribosomal RNA (305 nucleotides) under uncultured bacterium. RNAcentral describes it as "partial 16S ribosomal RNA". It matches the Rfam family "Bacterial small subunit ribosomal RNA", at positions 508 to 808 of the family's 1533-position model. The record is from RNAcentral.